This 100-nucleotide ribosomal RNA is filed under the name Brassica napus (rape). RNAcentral describes it as "rRNA SSU_rRNA_eukarya". It matches the Rfam family "Eukaryotic small subunit ribosomal RNA", at positions 875 to 974 of the family's 1831-position model. Lineage: Eukaryota; Viridiplantae; Streptophyta; Magnoliopsida; Brassicales; Brassicaceae. The record is from RNAcentral.
GUUACAGUCGGGGGCAUUCAUAUUUCAUAGUCAGAGGUGAAAUUUUUAGAUUUAUGAAAGACGAACAACUGCGAAAGCAUUUGCCAAGGGUGUUUUCAUU